UAUAAAAUUAAAGAAUCUCUAGAUCUAAGAUCUUAUUACAUGAUUAUUACAUAACAUUAAAUCAAAAAUUAAAAUAUAAAGAGCAAGAACUACAUGUUGAUCAUAUCAACAUGUUUCUAUACUACAUCUAAUGUAUGUAAAAUAUAAUAGAUCAGAUCUAUUACCUUGCAAGUUAGAUAUUCUAACUUUGCUGAUCUGGGCUUGAGGAUGA
This 211-nucleotide long non-coding RNA is filed under the name Elaeis guineensis (African oil palm). RNAcentral describes it as "long non-coding RNA (EGUI_LNC064973)". Lineage: Eukaryota; Viridiplantae; Streptophyta; Magnoliopsida; Arecales; Arecaceae. The record is from RNAcentral.